Molecule: long non-coding RNA, 1786 nt
Organism: Daphnia carinata
Lineage: Eukaryota; Metazoa; Arthropoda; Branchiopoda; Diplostraca; Daphniidae
Exons: 5
Source: RefSeq, a predicted model, not a curated record
CUUAUCUCCCCAAAGUUAAAACACCAAGCUGCUUCAUUAGUUGUUUGACGAGCAGAGGAACUAUUCCUAAUUUGACUACAUCCGAUUCAUUUACAGGUGAUACAGGGCUAUGGGGCAUAGACCAUCCCGUUUCCGAGGAUUUCUAACCUGAUUUACGAAACCGCAACCAUUUCAAUUGAUGUAAGAAGUUGGAGGAAGGGUAACAUCUAGUCUAUUUUUCUCCAAAAAGUUUACAUUUUAAUCAGAAAUGAAUUAGUUAAGAUUUUAAUUAUGAAUAAACUACUAGACAGUGCUUCCAGCACACUAACCCACUUCAAGGUUCUUUUUCAACAAUUUUAGGUCCUAAUCAAGUAUGUCCAAAUAUCACAAUGGGAAAGAUUAUGUUUCAGAUCUAUAAAGACAAUUUCUCAAGUUUUUACUAUAGCUUUAUUCCUAGUUGACAAACCAUAAUUUACAAAAUACAGCUUCACAUGAAACAGUGUUUAGUUCAGGAGCUUCUUGGCUUCUUCUGGUAAUGUGUCAAGAAAUGCCACUGCUUUAAUAACCCCAUUAUUCCAUCUGACAGCGAGCGGAACAUAGUUUGGGUCUGACCAGAUUCUCAUCUGUAAGUAGAAGGUCAGUAAAUGUUUGUGGUACUUCUAUGUUCAGAUAAUGUAUACCUUCUCUAAAACUGCCGUCAGUUUAUCCUCCUGAUCUUUUGAGAUGACAAUUUCUUUUCCGGGCAGGAUUUCCUCGACAUUUUUGUAAAACAAGAAGGUUUCCUCCUGUGUACCCCAGAGUCCUUCUUGAGUUGUGACAUACACGGCGGUAGCAGGAAUACCGACACGAAUGGAAAGCCUAUGAAAGAAAAUAGGGAAUUCAUGAUACGUAGGACGAUUUCAAAUUUUAAUAAGAUAACAAUUAAAUUUUAAUACUAACUUGAAGAGUUUCCACAGCUUGCUCGCCAUAUUGCCUGUUUACACCUUUACAACAUUGCCCAGUCGGUCGCUUGGGGCAGAUAAAAAAAGGAUACGCCUACUAAAAUCAAAUGGCAUGAAAAACUUUUUCCAUUUCAUUUCUUCGAAAACAUCUUAUCGAUGAAAAACGUGAAGUUUUAUCUCUGAGUAAUAAAGGAAUAUCUCGUGCUGUCACUGAAGUGUUAAACUAGUGUUCAACGAUUGCGAACUUAAAUUUUUUUCUGUUGAUUUUUAUCGACGCUUUCGUUGCCUAGAAAGAGCCAUUAAAAUACAACACUCGUCUGCACCGCCAACUGUGACACAUUUCGGUAUUCCAAUUCCGGCUUCGGCCAGAAAUUUUUAUUAGCUGUAAUACUCGAACUUAAAUUGUCUUGGGGCUAUUGCGCUCUACUUGUGUAUCGUCGAGGUUGGGCGUACCGUUUUAAUCGGCCAUACAAGACCAUUCUAAACCCGAAAAGUACGACUUAUUAUGGCACACACAUCACAUUCUAAAUGACAGUUGCCGUCUUGAUCUCAUGAGGAUUAUUAGAAAGGUGUUUGAUGUCUAGUCAAAGAGCUUACUCCCUGCACGGACACAGAUACAGUUCUACUGUGUUGCCCUUUAAUCACCGGCAGUCAAGGGAAAGAAUGGCUGGUGGAGAUAUCUGGGUUCAAUGGUUUACUUGCUGUGUGACUCAACAACCUCCUCCGCGGAGACGAAGACCACCGAUUGAUCGUUCCAUGAUCGGUUUGCCGCAAAAUUUUCAACAUACUGCUCACAUAGGCUCAAGCGACGUGGCAAUGGGUACGAGGCAUCUAGUAGCAUUGCAGAACCACAUGCAAAGUAAAGG